Molecule: small RNA, 298 nt
Filed under: Bos taurus (domestic cattle)
Lineage: Eukaryota; Metazoa; Chordata; Mammalia; Artiodactyla; Bovidae
Source: RNAcentral
AUGUUCGACAUUGCCCUUUGACGUGGGGAUCAGUACUUUGUCAUGUGUACACUAGAGCUGGCUCAGUGGUGGCAUAAUGUGUAUUCCAUAGUGCAAACUCAGAAGUUGGGUCACGUAUGCCAUAUAGUAGUGACUCAGUAGAGGUAGGAUGAUACAUCCAGAAUGGAAGCUAAGUAGUUGUGCUAAGCCUGCUGUAGAGCACUGGUUCAGUGUGUUCUGGUAAGAUGUGUGUUCUAGAAUACAGGAUCAAUACUGUGUGACAAUACUGUCAUCACAUUUCCUCCAGAGUUUAGGCACU